RNAcentral lists this ribosomal RNA (400 nucleotides) under uncultured bacterium. Its description in RNAcentral is "bacterial SSU rRNA". It matches the Rfam family "Bacterial small subunit ribosomal RNA", at positions 355 to 753 of the family's 1533-position model. The record is from RNAcentral.
UGAGGAAUAUUGGUCAAUGGGCGCGAGCCUGAACCAGCCAAGUCGCGUGAGGGAAGAAUGGUCUAUGGCCUGUAAACCUCUUUUGUCAAGGAAGAAUAAAAGGUACGUGUACCUUCUUGCCAGUACUUGACGAAUAAGCAUCGGCUAACUCCGUGCCAGCAGCCGCGGUAAUACGGGGGAUGCGAGCGUUAUCCGGAUUUAUUGGGUUUAAAGGGCGCGUAGGCGGGACGCCAAGUCAGCGGUAAAAGACUGCAGCUAAACUGUAGCACGCCGUUGAAACUGGCGACCUGGAGACGAGACGAGGGAGGCGGAACAAGUGAAGUAGCGGUGAAAUGCUUAGAUAUCACUUGGAACCCCGAUAGCGAAGGCAGCUUCCCAGGCUCGAUCUGACGCUGAUGCG